AGACCCGAAACCCGGUGAUCUAGCCAUGGGCAGGUUGAAGGUUGGGUAACACUAACUGGAGGACCGAACCGACUAAUGUUGAAAAAUUAGCGGAUGACCUGUGGCUGGGGGUGAAAGGCCAAUCAAACCGGGAGAUAGCUGGUUCUCCCCGAAAGCUAUUUAGGUAGCGCCUCGUGAAUUCAUCUCCGGGGGUAGAGCACUGUUUCGGCCAGGGGGCCAUCCCGGCUUACCAAUCCGAUGCAAACUGCGAAUACCGGAGAAUGUUAUCACGGGAGACACACGGCGGGUGCUAACGUCCGUCGUGAAGAGGGAAACAACCCAGACCGCCAGCUAAGGUCCCAAAGUCAUGGUUAAGUGGGAAACGAUGUGGGAAGGCCCA
This 379-nucleotide ribosomal RNA is filed under the name Salmonella enterica. RNAcentral describes it as "partial 23S ribosomal RNA". It matches the Rfam family "Bacterial large subunit ribosomal RNA", at positions 711 to 1087 of the family's 2925-position model. The record is from RNAcentral. Lineage: Bacteria; Pseudomonadati; Pseudomonadota; Gammaproteobacteria; Enterobacterales; Enterobacteriaceae.